UUUAUGGAGAGUUUGAUCCUGGCUCAGAGUGAACGCUGGCGGCGUGCCUAAUACAUGCAAGUCGAACGAUGAAG
Molecule: ribosomal RNA, 74 nt
Filed under: Campylobacter coli
Lineage: Bacteria; Pseudomonadati; Campylobacterota; Epsilonproteobacteria; Campylobacterales; Campylobacteraceae
Also listed under: 1 other name
Description: partial 16S ribosomal RNA
Rfam family: Bacterial small subunit ribosomal RNA
Source: RNAcentral